Molecule: ribosomal RNA, 535 nt
Filed under: Anopheles culicifacies
Lineage: Eukaryota; Metazoa; Arthropoda; Insecta; Diptera; Culicidae
Description: partial 16S ribosomal RNA
Rfam family: Bacterial large subunit ribosomal RNA
Source: RNAcentral
GCGUCUUUUUGGAUUUUAUUUAAAGUCUAACCUGCCCCCUGAGCAUUAAAGGGCCGCGGUAUUUUGACCGUGCGAAGGUAGCAUAAUCAAUAGUCUUUUAAUUGAAGGCUGGUAUGAAUGGUUGAAUGAGAUAUAUACUGUUUUUUUAAAAUUUUUAUAGAACUUUAUUUUUUAAUUAAAAAGUUAAAAUGUAAUUAAAAGACGAGAAGACCCUAUAGAUCUUUAUUUUUAUAAAUUAUAAUUUAUAAAGAAUUUUAAAAAUUAUAUUUUAAAUAAAAUUUUACUGGGGUGGUAUUAAAAUUAAAUUAACUUUUAUUAUUUAUUAACAUAUAUUUAUGAUUAAAGGAUCCUGUUAUAUGGAUUAAAAAUUUAAGUUACCUUAGGGAUAACAGCGUAAUUUUUUUAGAGAGUUCAUAUCGAUAAAAAAGAUUGCGACCUCGAUGUUGGAUUAAGAGUUAUUUUUAGGUGUAGAAGUUUAAAGUUUAGGUCUGUUCGACCUUUGAAUUCUUACAUGAUCUGAGUUUCAAACCGGAGA